This 279-nucleotide unclassified non-coding RNA is filed under the name plant metagenome. RNAcentral's name for it is "partial contains small subunit ribosomal RNA, internal transcribed spacer 1, and 5.8S ribosomal RNA". The record is from RNAcentral.
UCUCCGUUGGUGAACCAGCGGAGGGAUCAUUACAGGACUCUCAAGCCUCCUACAACCCUGGGAACUUAACUAUAAGCACGUUGCUUCGGCGGGUGUCGCGGAGGGGGCUCUCCCUCCACGAGACGCUAAACCCGCCGCCGACCUACUAUACGAUUUCUCUUUGCGUUGUCAUCUCGAGUACAAUCAAACAAGUUAAAACUUUCAACAACAGAUCGCCUGGUUCUGGCAGCGAGGAAACACGCAGGAGAUCCAGAGAGCACACGCCCUCACGCCAGCCAC